GGACUGUAGCUCAGUGGUAGAGUGCUUGCCUCGCACAUGUGAGGCACUGGGUUCAAUCCUCAGCACCA
Molecule: transfer RNA, 68 nt
Filed under: Marmota monax (woodchuck)
Lineage: Eukaryota; Metazoa; Chordata; Mammalia; Rodentia; Sciuridae
Description: tRNA.Ala
Source: RNAcentral